GAUGAACGCUGACAGAAUGCUUAACACAUGCAAGUCUUUGGCGAAGCUGUGCUUGCACAGCCUAGCCAAGGCGGACGGGUGAGUAACGCGUAAGGAACUUGCCCUGCAGUCAGGGAUAACAGACGGAAACGACUGAUAAGACCUGGUAAAGUCAGGCGGACUCAUGUCCAGCCUGAUGAAAAGAGAUGCUGCAGGAGAGCCUUGCGUCCUAUUAGCUUGUUGGUGGGGUAACGGCCCACCAAGGCGAUGAUAGGUAGCCGGCCUGAGAGGGUGGACGGCCACAAGGGGACUGAGAUACGGCCCUUACUCCUACGGGAGGCAGCAGUGGGGAAUAUUGGACAAUGGUGGCAACCCUGAUCCAGCAAUUCUGUGUGCACGAUGAAGGUUUUCGGAUUGUAAAGUGCUUUCAGCAGGGAAGAAAAAAAUGACGGUACCUGCAGAAGAAGCUACGGCUAAAUACGUG
Molecule: ribosomal RNA, 463 nt
Filed under: uncultured bacterium
Lineage: Bacteria
Description: partial 16S ribosomal RNA
Rfam family: Bacterial small subunit ribosomal RNA
Source: RNAcentral